UGUUCUUUGCCCCGCACCAGUCCCAAAUGCAAAAUCACAGCCUUGCCCAUGGCUCUUUCUCCAAUCCUCUUUUAUAUCUUAGAAGCUGAUCAGGCACAGGCAUGCUACAGCGACGGAAGUCCCGUGGUAAACUUCUUCGAGGUGAAUUAUCAGAAUGAGGGGACAUCUUGCAGCUUUACCACAACUUGUGUAUGACCUUAUUCUCUGUGCAGCAGUAGCAGAAACAACUACACUGGCUGAGCACAGCAUGUGCUUCCUCUGCAUAUACACACGAAGAAAUGGAGGAUUAUGGGAGCUGUUCUUUCCAAGAUCACACAUCCUGCCGAUGGUGGGCCUCUGAAAUCCAACUCUAAGCCCCCAAACCGCACAACCUGCAGAUGAUGGCACCUCUAUGAGGUUCAUCUGUAAAAUGGGUAUGCUGAACAGGCUGGAGAUUUUGGAAGAUCAGAAAAGCGCUCACAAGCAUUGGGAAGGUUUUCUGUCUUAGAAUUACUGUAACCAUCUGCCGGAAGUUGUUGGAAGUCUGAACCUGACUGUCUUUCAUAGAAUCUUCAGACGUCUGUCUACCCUGGGCCCAUCUGCCCUGCUACCUGGGGAUCUGCGCUGCUGAGCCUUGGAAGGUAUUUGAGUCUGUAGUCCUUGCACACCAUUUCCUCAGCCUGACCACCGCUCCUCUCUCACGGAUGGCAGUUUCCUAGUCGUGAAGGCAGCGUGGGUAGAAGCAGACAUUGGGGACGUCCGGAUGAGGGAUGCUGACGCCCACGUGCCACCGCAGGCACAUGAGGUCCGCUCGGACCCGUGUCUAGCGUGAUGUGGAGUCGCUGAGAUGAGGGGCCCGAAGCUCCCCGUCGGCCUCUUGGAAGCCUGGUACCGGCACGCGGCCUCGCCACUGCUCCUGCGGCUCCCGCUCCGGCGCUGUCGCCUGCCCCCAUGACCGCACCAAGGCCGCGUCCAUGCCGCCUUCCUCUUCCCGGCCUGGGUCAAACUCAGCGGGCGGCCCUUGCCACCGUGUCCUGGGUUGUGCUCCCCGCCGCCGGCUUCCUCAACAGGACACUCACUAGGCCCCGAUGGGCGCUACCGCCCGCACGCUCUCCAUUCCUCACAGACACAGAGGAUCCUGACGCCGCUCAGACCAGACCAGGGGCUCAGGCUAAAUCAACCAGCCACGCCACUGCCACAAAGGUCGACGGGUCCUCUCGCGAGACCCUGCGCGUCCUCCCGCGAGACCUCACAUUGGCUCUCUAGGAUUCGCUGCGAAUUCUCGCGGGAUCCCGCGUGUUCUCCGCCUGCACGGGCCAGCUGCCCGCUGACGAAGCUGUUUUCUGCUGUGUCCUCUCUCUGUCUCCUGAGCCGCAGACUGCCGCGGCUGGAGCUUUGCUGUCGCAGUAGAAGAGAACUUCUGCCAGUGACGUCGCUGGUAGAGCAUUGCUCCGGCCGCAGCUUCCUCCGAGACCUGGGUGCGGGCCAGGUCCCACGGGCGCUGAGGGAAACCGAUGACUCCUGAAGACGCAGCCACGGUGCAGGAGCGCGAGGCCACGGGCGUCCCGGGGCUGCAGCAGGUGUGAAGCCCGACGCCUCGGCUGUGACGAGGCAGGAAAUCCCCGUUGGCGUCUGAGAGCGGUUUUGAUGGACGCGUCUUCCUUGUAUUUGAUGUUCUUGACAGCAGUGUGUAUGACUGGGAUUUCUGCGGCGACAUCAGCGUCUGUCUAAGUGGCCCCCUUACACCCGGGUGCUUUGCAGCUGCAGGCUCCAUCUGGUCAUUACAGGCAGACAGACUGCUUCUGCCUCGGGACUGUGUUCCGUGAUGAGACGACCCCACUUCCUGAGGCAUCACUUCCUGGCCUUGUGAAGACGUUCUAAGGCUGCUUUGAGGCCUGUUACAUUUGGCAUCAGGACGCCCUGCCCUGCGCACCGUUACCCACGGGCUCCCCUCCUAGGUUCAUUAAACCUCAGGGUAAAUUGAUACUUCUUGAUGGGAGACAGCGUGUCAGUGCCCACUGCGAAGCAAGGACACACAUUUUUAUUUGGCUUCUGCCAGGCUGGGCUGUGGGCUCCCCAUGGAUCGCACUGGCCUUUCCGAAUCAAGCGCACAAAGACCUUAUUUCCAACUCUGCUGCACUCAUCGGAGCCGCCUUGGAUGUGACAAGGUGUGCCUCAGCGGGGGGCUUGCAGGAGCCCAGGGAAUCAGCAGUGAGGAAACUGCCGGCUCCAACUUCAGCCUUCUGAAUCACCUCUAAUGCAGCGAAAACCAUCUGCAUUUCACAGAAAAACAACCGUGAAACGCACUGGUUCCAUUAAGCACGGAAACCAAACACUGACCUUUUAGGAUAAUAGUUGGCUCCUCUCAGAAUGGAAAAAGAACUGCCUGAGAAUCAAAACCUGCUGUGUGAACGAUCCCCUGAAAGCAGGCUACUCACCAGACGUUAGAAGCUUUUGCCAGGAAAAGGCAUCUCUGCCUUUACUUAAAGCUCACCAUCGCUAAUUAAAACCACAGCACUUAGAGAAUGGCGCCCCUGCCCCACCUUGGCGAGGUGUAAGGGACAGGGCCUCUGCUGUCUUCACCAGGAGGGAGGGCUCUGUGCGCGGGUUACUGUGUACAGAGGCAUCUCUGCGAGUGGGGUUUCCAUCAGUGCCAGGGCAGGCCUGGAUUUCAUUAAUAGAAAUGCAGAACACAUGGUUCCAAGUCUGUUUGCUCAACCAUAAAAUAAGCAAAAUAUUACUGACUUUAUUUUCUCCCAGAGGGUGAAAGAGCAGAAGGUCCACAAAGACAUAAGCUGUGUCCAUGAAGCACUGAGGCAGGGUUACUCGACCUGGGAAAGUCAAAGAUUAGCAACUUUUGCCUCACCAAGCAGCUACGUUAAAGUCAUGAUAUACCGCCAACCAGCCAGCCAAGCUACCCACCCACCCAGCGCCUGGCACCAUGGUCACCACGAACCACCACCACCACCAUCUCAGAAAAGGACGUAACACCAGCUAAGUAGAGGGAUGUGCUCAUUCUCAAAGUAGAAGACAAGAAGUGCAGUGAGUUUUGUCAGAUCUCACUCUCUGGUCCUGUUUUGCACAUUGGAUGCGGGCAGAUUAGCAUCUGAGAGUCACAGGGGAGUCUUGGCAUCGGUCUUACUUCUCUAGGUCCAUCUUCUGGGCACUUUCAAGGUCAAGAGAGGUCUCUGGUACAGGAUUAUAGGGAAGACCCCAAAAUUUAAAGACCCACACAAUUAAAAAUCUCCACAGGAAA
Cavia porcellus (domestic guinea pig) is the source of this 3235-nucleotide long non-coding RNA. RefSeq lists it as uncharacterized. NCBI's taxonomy places the organism in Eukaryota, Metazoa, Chordata, Mammalia, Rodentia, Caviidae. The record is from RefSeq and is a predicted model, not a curated record. The transcript is spliced from 5 exons.